Molecule: long non-coding RNA, 1602 nt
Organism: Equus caballus (horse)
Lineage: Eukaryota; Metazoa; Chordata; Mammalia; Perissodactyla; Equidae
Source: Ensembl
GGUUCUUUGUGUUGAGGGUGGUGGUCUGAAGAGCUGGCAGCUGCAUGAACAUGUGAAUCACGGGGUGCUCGUGAAUGGGGCCAGGUGGGGGUCCCUGGGGCUGGGCCCACCACAGCUUCAAGCCUUUCAGUCAAUAUUGAGCCAGGCCAUCCCUGCAGCCUCAGCAGAAUGAAUCACCCCAGUUAUCCCAUUGGAGCCAAGACUGGCUGUCAGCCCCCUGCAGGGAAGAUGACUAAUUGUCUGAGUCCAUUGUUUGUAUUAGUGUUUUUGGGCAGGGAAGGUGGGGUGCAAGGGGGUGAACUGUCUCAGGGCAGUGGGGCAUCCCUUACAGUUCUCUCCCCUCCGGGCCUAGUCUGAGCCAGGCAAGUUCCUCUGUAGGAACCUCAGAGGGAGGUCACAUCUUCUUUCCCCUCUUACUCACCGCCCCUCUUCCCUGAAGGCCCAAAUGUGUGGAAUUAAGUCGUCUUCUUCCUCCGUAGGGUGGGGAUGUGCGCACAGUCCCCAGAGGGCUGGAAGCAUCGCCUUUGGAGUUCCUCCUUCUCUAGUUGCCUCCGCUGCCCCACAGGGCAUAGGCACUGGCACUGUUGGGGAGCAGGAAGGACUCAGAACUCCAGCUGCCCGUCUGCACAGCCACAUGCAAGCCUUGGCUCUAUUCCACUUCCUCUGGAAAAGUACCUUCCUGGCCCCGCAGUGGCUGGCAAUUUGGGGUGUGGAGUGAGCACCCUUGCGUGGGCAGAGAGCAGGAAGUCUGGGUUGGUUUUCUUGAAUUCCUGGGGAGGAGCUGAUGGUGGUGGUACCACAGCCCUGGUCAUCAGGGAGCCCUUCCUAUGAGGAGGGAUACAGGACGUGGACACCCAGGGAAUGUCAGCAAGGGGAUAUUUUUGCUCCUAGCAAUCAAAUCCCAAAAAAGCAACUCAACUUCACCUGAGACACACCUGUGAUGAGCAAGUCAAUGAAGGGGAGGGGUUUGCAGAGACAAAGAGAAUCGGAACCCCUGCCUCUCCCCUCCCCUGCUUUCAGCGGGGAGAAGACCUUGGUACAAAGAGGGAGGAGGAGUCGUUUCAGUGGGUGAAGACCUGCUGCCGCUGGGAGGGGCUGCGCAGGCAAGGCAGUCAGCAUGAGCUUCCAGGGAGCUCCGGUGGGUGGGCAGGCAGGCCAGGAGGCUGAAGAGGAUCAACAAACAUUCUCAGUCCACCUGCUAAAUAAACAGGAAUUAGAACCCCUUUGUCCACUCCAGGCCGGUUGAGAUCACCAACUCAUCAACUGGGCCUGUGCAGAUGUCGGAUAAGCGGCCUUUUGACGUCAAGAGGCUAAAAACUCCACCCUCAGAUCACGCUAAUGCUGCCAUUUUGUGAACAUGGUUUCUAUGAAGAGGCAUGAAGUCUGACUACACUUGCUCAGAUCAUCAAUUACCUCACCUCUCCUCACCUCUCCUCACCUCCAAUCACCUACCCCCCACUUUUCAGACCACCUUGCCCCCCAUCCCAUAAAUAUCCCUGAGUCCCUAUUUUUGGGAAAGUGGAUUUGAGACUCAUGCUCUGGCUUCCUCGCAUGGCUGCCUUGUGAUUAAACUCUGUCUCCGCUGCAGUCUCAUGGUCUUGG